CUCCCCCGGUCCCCGGCGCCGCCUCCUUCGCUCCCGGCUCCCGCUCCCGCUCCCGCGGCCGCCGCCGCCCCGGGAAGGAGAGACCGGGUGGGGCUUGGGGGAGCGCGACCCUGGCCGGGCAGGAGCCCGGAUUCGCGGGGAGGAGGGCUGGGAGGAGGGGAAGGCUGAGGAGAAAGGAGGGGGAGCGGGAGGAGCGGCCGGGCCUGGGGCCUUGAGGCCGGGAGAGCCGGGAAGCUGGGCCGGCGCGCCGAGAUGCUGCUGCCGCUGCUGCUGCCGCUGGCGCCGCUCUUCCUCCGCCCCCCGGGCGCGGGCGGGGCGCAGACCCCCAACGCCACCUCAGAAGGUUGCCAGAUCAUACACCCGCCUUGGGAAGGGGGCAUCAGGUACAGGGGCCUGACUCGCGACCAGGUGAAGGCUAUCAACUUCCUGCCGGUGGACUAUGAGAUUGAGUAUGUGUGCCGGGGAGAGCGCGAGGUGGUGGGGCCCAAGGUCCGAAAGUGCCUGGCCAACGGCUCCUGGACAGAUAUGGACACACCCAGCCGAUGCGUCCGCAUCUGCUCCAAGUCCUAUUUGGCCCUGGAAAAUGGGAAGGUUUUCCUGACGGGUGGGGACCUCCCCACUCUGGACGGAGCCCGGGUGGAUUUCCGAUGUGACCCUGACUUCCAUCUUGUGGGCAGCUCCCGGAGCAUCUGUAGUCAGGGCCAGUGGAGCACCCCCAAGCCCCACUGCCAGGGUGAGGGGAAUGGCUGCGUGCUUGCAGCUGAGGGCGCUUGCAGAGGAUGGGAGUGGGGUGGGCAGGGCUGGCGGGAAAGACGGGGUGCUAUGCAACAUGGGGGGCUUUGGGGGAGUGAAGGUGAAAACCCAACUCUUUCCCCCCCGCCCACCUGUCUCCAGCCCCCUCCUGCUGUCCCCAGUGCGCCUUUUACCCCUGGGGGCUUCCUUCCUCUCCCUCCCUCUUUUUAUAUCUCCUCCCUGCUCCCCAUUCCCCACAUGUUCUCUUUUCCUCUAUGAGUCUCACCCUCCAUCACCUUUCUUAAGGUUUAAAUACCCCAGUUUCCCGUAGCCUCAGUCCCUUUCUCUAAACUUAGAACUUUCUAUGCAUAACCCUCUUCUACAACUGGUUCCUCUCCAUUUGUUAUAUAACUGAAUUAUUGUAAAGACUCAGAAAUAAAUCAUAUGUCAUACUUAGAAAAAAAAUGUUAAGAUUGGAAAGAAUAUCUGGGGUGGAAAAUUAUCAGGGUAAAAAUUUAAAAGGCUUAAAAUUGGGGGCAGAACUCUCAGGGUGCUAAGGACCACCCAGGGUUGGGGAGGGAAAGAGGACAGUCCUUUUCUGGAACUCUCAGACAAGCUCCAUCCUUCCCAAGGGACUCAGUCUUGGGUGCAGCACCUUUUCUGUCAGUCAGUUCUGCGAAUUCCCCCUUUCCUGGGCACCCAGAUUCCCCCUUUGCGGUCUUCUCUGCAAGAUGCAGGCAUACCCCAUGCUUCCCCUAUUCUUGGAGAAUCUUUCAAGGUCCUGGACCUGGCUUUCCUCCCUCAACGUAAUUAUUCUGCUUGUAGUUUACCAUCCCAUUGUGGAAACUGAGAGUCCCCUCCGGGGGUGGAUUUACCAUGAAGCUAAUGCAAUUUAAGCGUCAGGGCUCCUCAUUCACCCAGGUCUCUUCUUGUGCUCUAAUAAUGUGUUCACAUGGUCAUAGCUUUUUGUAAAAAAUGCCAAAGUAAGAUUUUAAAAGCAAUAGUUUAAAAU
Callorhinus ursinus (northern fur seal) is the source of this 1744-nucleotide non-coding RNA. The record is from RefSeq and is a predicted model, not a curated record. Lineage: Eukaryota; Metazoa; Chordata; Mammalia; Carnivora; Otariidae.